Molecule: ribosomal RNA, 544 nt
Filed under: uncultured bacterium
Lineage: Bacteria
Description: bacterial SSU rRNA
Rfam family: Bacterial small subunit ribosomal RNA
Source: RNAcentral
AAUAGAUACCCUGGUAGUCCACGCCGUAACGAUGGAUGCUAGCUGUUAUGAGUAUCGACCCUUGUAGUAGCGAAGCUAACGCGUUAAGCAUCCCGCCUGUGGAGUACGAGCGCAAGCUUAAAACAUAAAGGAAUUGACGGGGACCCGCACAAGCGGUGGAGCGUGUUGUUUAAUUCGAUGAUAAGCGAAGAACCUUACCAAGGCUUGACAUCCCUGGAAUUUCUCCGAAAGGAGAGAGUGCCUUCGGGAAUCAGGUGACAGGUGAUGCAUGGCCGUCGUCAGCUCGUGUCGUGAGAUGUUUGGUUAAGUCCAUCAACGAGCGCAACCCUUGUAAAUAGUUGUAAUUUUUCUAUUUAGACUGCCUCGGUAACGGGGAGGAAGGAGGGGAUGAUGUCAGGUCAGUAUUUCCCUUACGCCUUGGGCUACAAACACGCUACAAUGGCCGGUACAAAGGGCAGCCAACCCGCGAGGGGGAGCAAAUCCCAUCAAAACCGGUCUCAGUUCGGAUAGCAGGCUGAAAUUCGCCUGCUUGAAGCCGGAAUCG